Molecule: ribosomal RNA, 253 nt
Filed under: uncultured bacterium
Lineage: Bacteria
Description: partial 16S ribosomal RNA
Rfam family: Bacterial small subunit ribosomal RNA
Source: RNAcentral
UACGAAGGGUGCAAACGUUGCUCGGAAUCAUUGGGCGUAAAGCGCACGUAGGCGGCUUCGCAAGUCGGAUGUGAAAUACCUAGGCUCAACCAAGGACGUGCAUCCGAAACUGCGAGGCUUGAGUACAGAAGAGGAUCGCGGAAUUCCCGGUGUAGAGGUGAAAUUCGUAGAUAUCGGGAGGAACACCAGUGGCGAAGGCGGCGAUCUGGGCUGAUACUGACGCUGAGGUGCGAAAGCGUGGGGAGCAAACGGG